GCUGGCGGCACGCCUAACACAUGCAAGUCGAACGAAGUAGCAAUACUUAGUGGCAGACGGGUGAGUAACAUGUAGGUAUCUGCCCUUUGGCCCGGAAUAACACGAGGAAACUUGUGCUAAUACCGGAUAAGUCUUUACGGAGAAAGCUUUAUGCACCAUUGGAUGAGCCUGCACUUGAUUAGUUUGUUGGUGGGGUAAUGGCCUACCAAGACUGUGAUCAAUAGCUGAUUUGAGAGGAUGAUCAGCCACAUUGGGACUGAGACACGGCCCAAACUCCUACGGGAGGCAGCAGUGGGGAAUCUUGCACAAUGGAGGAAACUCUGAUGCAGCGAUGCCGCGUGAGUGAAGAAGGCCUUUGGGUUGUAAAGCUCUUUCGUCGGGGAAGAAAAUGACUGUACCCGAAUAAGAAGGUCCGGCUAACUUCGUGCCAGCAGCCGCGGUAAUACGAAGGGACCUAGCGUAGUUCGGAAUUACUGGGCUUAAAGAGUUCGUAGGUGGUUGAAAAAGUUGGUGGUGAAAUCCCAGAGCUUAACUCUGGAACUGCCAUCAAAACUUUUCAGCUAGAGUAUGAUAGAGGAAAGCAGAAUUUCUAGUGUAGAGGUGAAAUUCGUAGAUAUUAGAAAGAAUACCAAUUGCGAAGGCAGCUUUCUGGAUCAUUACUGACACUGAGGAACGAAAGCAUGGGUAGCGAAGAGGAUUAGAUACCCUCGUAGUCCAUGCCGUAAACGAUGUGUGUUAGACGUUGGAAAUUUAUUUUCAGUGUCGCAGCGAAAGCGAUAAACACACCGCCUGGGGAGUACGA
Molecule: ribosomal RNA, 802 nt
Filed under: uncultured Pelagibacteraceae bacterium
Lineage: Bacteria; Pseudomonadati; Pseudomonadota; Alphaproteobacteria; Candidatus Pelagibacterales; Candidatus Pelagibacteraceae
Description: bacterial SSU rRNA
Rfam family: Bacterial small subunit ribosomal RNA
Source: RNAcentral